GGGGCUGUAGCUCAGCUGGGAGAGCACCUGGUUUGCAACCAGGGGGUCACCGGUUCGAUCCCGGUCAGCUCCACCA
RNAcentral lists this transfer RNA (76 nucleotides) under Anaerolineaceae bacterium. RNAcentral's name for it is "tRNA-Ala". It matches the Rfam family "tRNA". Rfam says of the family: Transfer RNA (tRNA) molecules are approximately 80 nucleotides in length. Their secondary structure includes four short double-helical elements and three loops (D, anti-codon, and T loops). RNAcentral also lists the same sequence under 5 other names. Lineage: Bacteria; Bacillati; Chloroflexota; Anaerolineae; Anaerolineales; Anaerolineaceae. The record is from RNAcentral.